CAGUGGGGAAUUUUCCGCAAUGGGCGCAAGCCUGACGGAGCAACGCCGCGUGAGGGAUGAAGGCCUCUGGGCUGUAAACCUCUUUUCUCAAGGAAGAAGAACUGACGGUACUUGAGGAAUAAGCCACGGCUAAUUCCGUGCCAGCAGCCGCGGUAAUACGGGAGUGGCAAGCGUUAUCCGGAAUUAUUGGGCGUAAAGCGUCCGCAGGCGGCUUUGUAAGUCUGUCGUUAAAGCGUGGAGCUUAACUCCAUUUCAGCGAUGGAAACUACAGGGCUUGAGUGUGGUAGGGGCAGAGGGAAUUCCCGGUGUAGCGGUGAAAUGCGUAGAUAUCGGGAAGAACACCAGUGGCGAAGGCGCUCUGCUGGGCCAUAACUGACGCUCAUGGACGAAAGCCAGGGGAGCGAAAGGGAUUAGAUACCCCAGUAGUC
Molecule: ribosomal RNA, 428 nt
Filed under: uncultured bacterium
Lineage: Bacteria
Description: bacterial SSU rRNA
Rfam family: Bacterial small subunit ribosomal RNA
Source: RNAcentral